Ictidomys tridecemlineatus (thirteen-lined ground squirrel) is the source of this 4109-nucleotide non-coding RNA. NCBI's taxonomy places the organism in Eukaryota, Metazoa, Chordata, Mammalia, Rodentia, Sciuridae. The record is from RefSeq and is a predicted model, not a curated record.
UGUGUGUGUGUUUGUGCGUGUGUGUUUGUGUGUGUGUUUGUGUGUGUUUGUGUGUGUGUGUUUGUGUGUGUUUGUGUGUGUGUGUGUGUGUGUGUGUAGUGGAUGAUGAACUGGAGAAACUGGGGCUAGGUUUGAACUGUGAUGAGAGGAUAGUGUGAGGUCACUCCUGAGCUACCUCCAAGGACAAAUCCCUCCCCAUGAUGACACCUGCGUGGAACAAGGGACCCUGUCCUUCCUUCCACUCCCAGAGGGAAGGGCUAGCUCCGAGUCCUGAGGACUGAACUCAAACACUAUUUUUGCCUGAUUUGCUUUGUAGAAAAAUCUCAACCCCUGUACCUGCCAUUUCCUGGCUGUGUGUCCUGGAGCCAGUCACUGGCCCUUUCUGAAUUCUAAUCCCCCACCCCAUUGUAAAACUGAAGCCUGUGGUAGGAUUGGGAAUCUUCUGUAAACCAUGAAGUAUUUGAUAAAUAGAAGGCUCGGGCCCAAGGAUUGGAUUUAUUUGUAAAGCAGAUUGAGGAAGAGAAGUCCCAGCUGGUAGCAGGUGUGUCUCAUUCUUUAAAAAAGGGCAGAGGAAAAAAAAAAACAAAGAACCCGGGCAGCCAUUGUGCAGAGCCUGGAGCUCCUUCCUGCUUUACCAGCCUCCCUGGGAACCGCCCAGGGCAGGAGGCCUGGGCAGCCCGUGGGGUUGCAUUCCAGGCGGGCUCCCCGUGGUCAGCAAGGCCAUGCUGCUGACCGGUGGCCUGGAAUUUGGACUCUUAACAAAAUCCCGGCUACAAAAGGAGAACAGGUUGGACCGAAGCCACUGGGCGAGCGAAGGAACCUCCUGGAAAACGGCUGGGACGUUUGUUGAACAGACUCCAGGCCCGGCCUGCCCACCAGAGCCCAGCCCAAGGACAGAAGCAGCCGACCCUGCGGUGGAGCUGAUUGGAGAGUCCCAGGUGUGAGUCCGCCCAGGGGACAGCGCCUCCCACAGCUGGGUCACUUUCUAGUUCCAGCCCCAGUCAGGUCUCCGCAGCCAGUGCCUUCAGCCAUUGGCCCUGUGGAGGGCUUGGCAUUUAUCCAGCACCUGCUGUUGGGCAGGAUUAGUGCCCUUUCACAGGGACACCAUCAGCAGUGUGCAUCCUGGAAGAGGGCCCUUGCUAGGGCCUGAGCGGGCUGGCACCCUGACCUCAGGCUUCCUGAUCUGCAACCGACAUCUGUUAUAAACCACUUGGCCUAUUGUUAGGGGAGCCAACGCUGACUCGGGUACCUUGUAGCAACCCAAGGAUCAAACAGACCCCGCUAUAGAGGAACGAGCUAAGAAGACACAGCCCAGUUAGGUAACUCGCUGGAGGUCACACAGCUAGUUAGUACAAGUGCUAGAACUGCAGCCAACGAGCCUGGCCCCAGAGCCCACGGGGCUGGCCACUGUCCUCUGGUUCUCCUUCACUUCAACGCUUCUCUGGGAGCUGGGUUUAUGAGCACCUCCAGCCCCGGUUCCACUCUGCUGCCGGUGUCUUUUAAACAAUGUAAUCAGGUCAGGCUCCUUCACAGAGCCUCUGAAGCACUCUCCCAUCAAGCUCAGAAUCAAGCUCAGGCAGGAUUUGGCCAGCCACGGGAUUCAUUCCGCCUCCCGCAAGAGCUCAGCUACACACACACACACACACACACACACACACACCCUUGUAGAAAGACCACUUGCGGUUUCCAAAAAGCUGUCAGCUGUCUAGGGCAGCAGCACUAUCCAUAGAUAGAAUGCAAGCCACAUAUGGAAUUCAGAAUUUUCUAGAAGCCACAUUAAGAGAGUAAAUUAACUUCAGUAGCAUAUCCGGUAUAUUUACAAUGUUGACAUUUCAACAUGCAUCCAUCUAAAUCCUGGUGGACGUGGUUUUAAUUUUGUUUGAAGUCUCAGCGAUCGGGUGUGUUUUACACCAUUACAUUUGGCUCAGACUCCCAGGGACUCGCCACUGAGGCUGGGCGGGGCUCUGGGGGCAGGAGGAGGAGAGAUGGACAAGGGGUAGGAAACACAUCAGCAUCGGCACCGUCAUUGCUGACACCUGCUGCUCCCAGCCCCCUGCCACCGGCGUCAGUUUUACAAGCAUUUCCUUGUCUCAUUCUCAAAAUGAUCCCCGGAAAGAUUGUUCUCUUGUGGGGCCGCCUUGGAGAAAAGGAAGAGAUCUCAAAAAAUCCUCAGGUUCAGAGGGAGGAGGCUGGGAAUGGAGGCUCCUUUUCUAUUUCACACACCACCCAGCAUCCAGCAUCAGCCAGAUGGAGCUCCUCUGGGUCCUGGGGUGAGUGAGGGAGACCUUGUCAGGGGCACAGCCUUUUGUCAUCGGGCUGUCAAGUCGUCUCCUGCCUUCCCACCUCCGUGGCUUCCUCCCUCCUUCCCAGAAUUCCCUGGGAAUUCCAAGUUCUUUGGCCUCUGUGAUGCAAGUAGUUGGCCCCCCAUGGUUUGGAUGGAGAUAGAGUGUGCCCAACUUGGUCCCCCGGAGUGAUGAUGUUAGAGAUGGCGGGAGCUUUAAGACGCGGGUUCUACCGGGAGGAUUUCAAGUCAUGGCAGGGCGUGCCCUCUGAAGGACCUCAAGUAGCUCUUCUGGAACCCUGGAACCCCCUGAGAGUGAGUUUUGAAAGAGCCCCUUCCAGCUCUCUGUCAUCCUUGUCUGAAUGUCAGAUCCCCCUCUUUAAUGUGCUUCUGUCACGAUGCAAGUCUCCAUGCUGUGUCACAGCCACGGGGGACAUCACCAGAGCCGGCAUCGUGCCAUUUGGACUUUGGUCCUUCCAAACUGGACAAUGGAAUUUGAAGAGGUCCAAGUUCACAAAAGCAGAGAGGUCAGGAGCUGCCACUUGCCCAUCCACUCUUAGAAGGGCAGCGACGGGGUCAAGAGUUACUUCCUUGACAAAUGGGGACGCCCAUGAGAGGGAAGCCGGGGGACUGGGAGCAUCUCAGGAGCUGGACACCAGUUAUCUCGGUGCUGGGGGGAGGAGCGGAGCUGAAGACAGUAUCGAUGUCAGCACCAGCACCCGCAGCGUCACCUCCACUGCCAUCAGUGCCACCGUCACCUCCACGGCCGUCCCUGGCACACUGCCACCAUCACCACCACCAAGAUCAUCACCACCAUCACCUCCACCACUGUCUCCAACACACUGCCACCAUCACCACCAUCACCUCCACCACCCACCCCACCAUCAUCACCCAGCCAGGGAAUCCAGGCGAACAUCUCUCCUAUCACACUGGAUUCUUUUCUUUGGAAAGACGGAUUAGGCAAUCAUCAGGAUGGGGCAGGAGACUUUAUUUUGCAGGAAUAUUAAAUGAAAAGUUCACGUUGGACAGUGAGAGCCACGUUGUCUCCUCCCAGAGGCAGGAGGCUGGCGUGCUCCUUCCAAGGAAGCUGAGGAGCCGAGGGCAGACCCAUCCCCCGGGCUCCGCGGGCAGAGCCGCUCUCAGGUCAGCAAGCCCCCUCUCAAAGGCUUCCACCAGCUUCCCAGUUUAAACAGGAACCAGGCAAAGUCUCUAGGCAACCACAUGAGCCUCAGGAACAACAACAAAAAAAAUAGAUAAAAAGGAUCCCAAAGGUGAUGGAGAUGGUGGUGGGGACAGAAGGAAUCUGCCAAGAACAAGAAGAACAAUCCUGUGUUCAGAAGGAGAGAGCGAAUAUUGCUUUCUGAGAACAAAAGGGUACAAAACAAAAGAUCAGAGAAUAAGCAAGAGCUCUUGUCAAGAAAUAGAAUAAGACAAGUGAGUCUGAAGUCCUUUCCCUCCCAUCAAGGGAGGGAUGUUGGAAAACUGAGCAACACAGCUGGCAGCGGAGGACCUCCUGCCCAUCAGUACGUGGACAAGAUAGCUGGAAACUGGUGGACCUGACUAGACAGUUAGGGCCUGGUUUUUGUUGUACAUUUGAUCUCCACGGAAAUCCUGCUGUACAUGAGCCAUUACCCCCUUGUAUACAUAGAAUCUUACAAAGGCACCUUCUUAGGUAGUGCCACAAGAAAGAGUCCUAUAGGUCAGAGGCGGUGGACACUGGAUAGUGUCCAGGGGGCUCCAUCUGACAUGUGGCCCAAGCUCGCACUGCAGUUCUUGUGUCCAAAAUUAUGAAAACUUCAAAGAUAAAGUCAUCAUGUGGGGCCUUAAA